GAGAUUGAAGUGUUCAAAGGAGCAGAGAAAGCAGGCAGAGAUACCAGGCCUUGGAGCAGUUGGGAGAACUUAAACUUGGCUGGAGGUACUGCCAUAGGUAAUGGCAGAGACAAAGCUGAGCCACGAGCAGAGCAUGGCAAGAGCCUGCAUCAGCUUCCCUGCAGCUGCCAGGCCACCCGGUGAAGAUGAUGAGUAUCUUCUAAGGCAGCUGACAUUGUCUCUGAUGGGAAGAGCAUAUCCUUACAGCCUCUCUGCUGCAGGGACAGCUCCACUCCACCUGAGCCAGAGGAUGGAACUGGAGACCAGCAGGCUCAGGCUGCUGGAAAGGCAUUGCCAGGCACCCCCAGAAGGGAGACCAUGAAGGUCUCACCCACAGGUUUGGAAUUUGCCAGGAAAGGCUCUGCCUGGGUCUGGCAGGAGGCAGAGAGCUGCGGUCCUGCGUGUGCUGCAGCACGGCACAGCUCUCGGGCUGAUGGCCCUAACGGGGUUGUGCUGAUGGGCAGCCUUGAGAAACAAAUCCACUUACAUGGAGAUGUAUGGGAGUAACAACUGACUGCUGCCGACCCCGCUCAGAGCCUGCCAGAUCCUGCAGCCCUGCUUCCCCAAGGCACGCCGCAUCUCCAGGCGUGUGUUGUUCCAUUAAGCUAUUUUUAGCAAACACAUUCCCCUUAUUUCAGCAGCAGUUAUCUGAUUAGUUCCUGUAACUAUAUGAGGAGCAACAUUUCCAGGCAUGACUGAGAGCUGUGAGCAGGCUGUGCCUCUUCACAUGCGUUUUCUCAAAGGGAAAAACUUGCUGGGGCUGCUCCUCCCGCUGUGCUCCCAUGGCUGUGUGGCUCCAAGCACCGGCAUUGCUCACAGCCGAGCCCUGCAGCGUGCGACCUUUGGCAGAGCAGCAGCCAGCAGGCAAUGUCCCCAACACCACCUGCAGCAAGGGACCAUCCCUGUGCCGUGUUGCUGCGAUGCAGCGGCGAUAAGCAGCUGGCUUUGUUUGCUCUGAGCACACGGCUCUUAAAGAUUUCCAUCAUCAUUGGCCAUGGUGGGGAUGGGGGAAAACAAAUCCUCUUUGCUAAAGCAGUGCUGGUCCCAUGGAGGCUGUGCACCUUCCCCCCCUCCCCGUGCAAGGAAUGCCCUGUGCCAGCUUUGUUGCUGCAUGGGGACAAGCUAAAAAUCCUAUGGAGCCAUUGCUAGCUCCAGCAUUGUACUUUGCUCCCUCCACCUCUAUUGACCACAGCUGUCCUGGAAAAUCAGAUUAUAGAGCAAAGCCUUGGCACCAAGUCUGCUCUGCCAAGUCAGGUCCUCCAUCUCCCAGAUGGAUCGUGGCAGGAAGAGGGUGAGAAGCCUCUGCUAUGACAGCUUUGUCUCCAGCUCCAGCAGGAGGAAGCCCAGAGCUCUGCAGCCACGACUGUGUGUGUGGCUCAGGGUGGCAGAAGGGGAUCUCAGGGGGAAUCGAGCCCAACUCAUCUCCCCCAUCCAUCACAGAAGCGCUCAGAGCUCUGCUCUCUGCCUCCCCAUUCUGCGGUGGGAAUGUUUUGAGAGAGCAGAACAGGGAUUCACUGCAGCUUUAAAUGCCCCCAAAGAAGCUGUUCUGCUGCAUGCAGGGAAGCACUGCCCCCGGGGCAUUGCAAGUCCAGGAGGGCAGGAGAGGACACCGGGGAAGGGAGGUGCCCAUUCGUGCAGCUCAGCCCUUGGGGGCACCAAAGGGCCCAAAGAGCAGUGUUCGCUCCAACCACAGCAGCAGUAGGGUUUCACUGUGGUGCAGUCUGGGCUCUGCUCAUGGCUCAGGUUGUUGUGAGCUCCUUUGUGUUGGCCAUCAGCUCCUCCUGGGCUUGUGCAAGCCCUGUUACUUAUUUAUGCCUUCAUUGUGUGCCUGCCUGGCUUCUCACCGGAGAGAUUUAUUUUCCUCCCCUGCUCCGACAGGACUGCUCAAGCCUCCUUCUGCAGGAAGGAUAAGGCUGUGCCGCUGGAACUCUGUCACACAGCUAAAGACAUUUAUUUCAGUUGAGAGAGUCGCAAGUGCCUCGGGUGACACUUCAUUUGCAGCCAGAAAGAAAGAUGCAAAGUGUUCCUCUCUGAAACCAGUUGCUGAGACAGAUCGAGGGUAGCACAAGUUGCCAGCAGAACAGACAGCACCCGCUGCCCCCCAGGGUGUGCCGUGCCACCUCCUGCUCU
Gallus gallus (chicken) is the source of this 2169-nucleotide long non-coding RNA. NCBI's taxonomy places the organism in Eukaryota, Metazoa, Chordata, Aves, Galliformes, Phasianidae. The record is from Ensembl.